RNAcentral lists this ribosomal RNA (326 nucleotides) under uncultured eukaryote. RNAcentral describes it as "partial 18S ribosomal RNA". It matches the Rfam family "Eukaryotic small subunit ribosomal RNA", at positions 1470 to 1796 of the family's 1831-position model. The record is from RNAcentral.
CCCUUAGAUGUUCUGGGCUGCACGCGCGCUACACUGAUGCACUCAACGAGUUUACGACCUUGCCCGAUAGGGUUGGGUAAUCUUUUUAAAAUGCAUCGUGAUGGGGAUAGAUUAUUGCAAUUAUUAAUCUUCAACGAGGAAUUCCUAGUAAGCGCGAGUCAUCAGCUCGUGCUGAUUACGUCCCUGCCCUUUGUACACACCGCCCGUCGCUCCUACCGAUUGAGUGCUCAGGUGAAUAAUUCGGACUGCAGCAAUGUGUGGAUCCCGAACGUUGCAGCGGAAAGUUUAGUGAACCUUAUCACUUAGAGGAAGGAGAAGUCGUAACA